This 459-nucleotide ribosomal RNA is filed under the name uncultured Desulfobulbus sp. RNAcentral describes it as "bacterial SSU rRNA". It matches the Rfam family "Bacterial small subunit ribosomal RNA", at positions 930 to 1382 of the family's 1533-position model. Lineage: Bacteria; Pseudomonadati; Thermodesulfobacteriota; Desulfobulbia; Desulfobulbales; Desulfobulbaceae. The record is from RNAcentral.
CGGUGGAGGCAUGUGGUUUAAUUCGAUGAUACGCGAAGAACCUUACCUGGUCUUGACAUCCCGGAGACCCUUAGGAAACUAGGGGGUACUUCCAUCUGGAAGAAUCUGGAGACAGGUGCUGCAUGGCUGUCGUCAGCUCGUGUCGUGAGAUGUUGGGUUAAGUCCCGCAACGAGCGCAACCCUUGCCUUUAGUUGCCAGCAGUUCGGCUGGGCACUCUAAAGGGACUGCCGGUGUUAAACCGGAGGAAGGUGGGGAUGACGUCAAGUCCUUAUGGCCUUUAUGACCAGGGCUACACACGUACUACAAUGGCCGAUACAAAGGGCAGCGACACUGCGAGGUGAAGCCAAUCCCGUAAAAUCGGUCUCAGUCCGGAUUGGAGUCUGCAACUCGACUCCAUGAAGUUGGAAUCGCUAGUAAUCGUGAAUCAGAAUGUCACGGUGAAUACGUUCCCGGGCCUU